CAGAGAAUAGUUUAAUAUAAAAUAUUAAUUUUGGGGAUUAAAGAUGGGGGUGACUCUUUCUCUGA
This 65-nucleotide transfer RNA is filed under the name Gryllotalpa pluvialis. RNAcentral describes it as "tRNA-Pro". The record is from RNAcentral. Lineage: Eukaryota; Metazoa; Arthropoda; Insecta; Orthoptera; Gryllotalpidae.